Molecule: ribosomal RNA, 857 nt
Filed under: uncultured bacterium
Lineage: Bacteria
Description: bacterial SSU rRNA
Rfam family: Bacterial small subunit ribosomal RNA
Source: RNAcentral
GGAUUAAAGGUGGCUUUCGGGCUGUCGCAGAUGGAUGAGCCUGCGUUGGAUUAGCUAGUUGGUGGGGUAAGGGCCCACCAAGGCUACGAUCCAUAGCUGAUUUGAGAGGAUGAUCAGCCACAUUGGGACUGAGACACGGCCCAAACUCCUACGGGAGGCAGCAGUGGGGAAUAUUGGACAAUGGGGGCAACCCUGAUCCAGCAAUGCCAUGUGUGUGAAGAAGGCCCUAGGGUUGUAAAGCACUUUAGUUGGGGAGGAAAGCCUCAAGGUUAAUAGCCUUGGGGGAGGACGUUACCCAAAGAAUAAGCACCGGCUAACUCCGUGCCAGCAGCCGCGGUAAUACGGGGGGUGCAAGCGUUAAUCGGAAUUACUGGGCGUAAAGGGUCUGUAGGUGGUUUGUUAAGUCAGAUGUGAAAGCCCAGGGCUCAACCUUGGAACUGCAUUUGAUACUGGCAAACUAGAGUACGGUAGAGGAAUGGGGAAUUUCUGGUGUAGCGGUGAAAUGCGUAGAGAUCAGAAGGAACACCAAUGGCGAAGGCAACAUUCUGGACCGAUACUGACACUGAGGGACGAAAGCGUGGGGAUCAAACAGGAUUAGAUACCCUGGUAGUCCACGCUGUAAACGAUGAGUACUAGCUGUUGGAGUCGGUGUAAAGGCUCUAGUGGCGCAGCUAACGCGAUAAGUACUCCGCCUGGGGACUACGGCCGCAAGGCUAAAACUCAAAGGAAUUGACGGGGACCCGCACAAGCGGUGGAGCAUGUGGUUUAAUUCGAUGCAACGCGAAGAACCUUACCUGGUCUUGACAUCCUGCGAACUUUCUAGAGAUAGAUUGGUGCCUUCGGGAACGCAGUGACAG